AAUUAUGUUGAUUAAAGUUCGAAAUAGAAAAGUGAUAAUGACACAUUCUAUUUUUAGUCUUGACUAAUACACGUGCCAGCAGUCGCGGUAAUACGUGAAAGACAAGUGUUAUUCAUUUUUAAUAGGUUUAAAGGGUACGUAGACGGUUAGUAAAGCCUGAAUAUAAGGAACUAAUUAACUAGAGUUUUAUGUAAAAAGGUUAGAGCGGUGAGUGUAGAGAUAAAAUUUUUUGAUACCACUUAGAAACUGGCAAAUGCGUAGGCAGCCUUUUAUGUACAAACUGACGUUGAGAGACGAAGGCUCGAUUAAGUAACAGGAUUAGAUACCCUAGUAUUGUGAGCAGAAAAUGAUGAAUGUCUUAUGCAAGAUCUAUAUUUAUCUUGUGUAAAAAUGAAAGUGUAAGCAUUCCACCUCAAGAGUAAUAUGGCAACAUAUAAACUGAAAUCAUUAGACCGUUUCUGAAACCAGUAGUGAAGUAUGUUGUUUAAUUUGAUAAUCCACAAAUAACCUUACCACAAUUUGAAUAUUUAUGUAAAUAAAUACAAGCGUUGCACGGCUGUCCUCAGUUAAUGUCGCGAGAUUUUGGUUAGAUCCAUUAAAUUAACGUAAACCCUUACUUUAUUUGUUAUAAAGUAGUUCGCCAUUAUAUUGGUAAUGAUAUAAGGGACAAAGACAAGUCAUCAUGGCCUAAAUAUUGUGGGCUAUAGAGUUUCCCAUAAA
RNAcentral lists this ribosomal RNA (720 nucleotides) under Spirographa maroneae. Its description in RNAcentral is "SSU rRNA". It matches the Rfam family "Bacterial small subunit ribosomal RNA", at positions 431 to 1234 of the family's 1533-position model. Lineage: Eukaryota; Fungi; Ascomycota; Lecanoromycetes; Ostropales; Spirographaceae. The record is from RNAcentral.